AACGAACGCUGGCGGCAUGCCUAACACAUGCAAGUCGAACGAGACCUUCGGGUCUAGUUGCGCACGGGUGCGUAACGCGUGGGAACCUGCCCUUAGGUUCGGAAUAACUCCCGGAAAGGGGUGCUAAUACCGGAUAAUGUCUUCGGACCAAAGAUUUAUCGCCUUUGGAUGGGCCCGCGUUGGAUUAGCUAGUUGGUAGGGUAAAAGCCUACCAAGGCGACGAUCCAUAGCUGGUCUGAGAGGAUGAUCAGCCACACUGGGACUGAGACACGGCCCAGACUCCUACGGGAGGCAGCAGUGGGGAAUAUUGGACAAUGGGCGAAAGCCUGAUCCAGCAAUGCCGCGUGAGUGAUGAAGGACUUAGGGUUGUAAAGCUCUUUUACCCGGGAUGAUAAUGACAGUACCGGGAGAAUAAGCUCCGGCUAACUCCGUG
RNAcentral lists this ribosomal RNA (433 nucleotides) under uncultured bacterium. RNAcentral's name for it is "partial 16S ribosomal RNA". It matches the Rfam family "Bacterial small subunit ribosomal RNA", at positions 29 to 507 of the family's 1533-position model. The record is from RNAcentral.